GGACACUGACAGAUGAGUGGUGUAGUUCUGUGCCUGGGAACCAAACCAGGGCCACCAAAGCAGAGGAUGCUGAACUUAACCACUAGGCCACUGGGACUGGCCCUCUAUCUCUUUACUUUUAAUCUGUGUCUUUAUAUUUAAAGCAGGUUGCUUAUAGAUUGCAUAUCACUGGGUCUUAUUUUUUUAUCCACUCUGUCAAUCUCUGUCUUUUAAUUGGUGUAUUUAAACUAUUCAUAUUUAAAGGGAUGACCUGUAUAGUUGAAUUAAUGUCCAUAAUAUUUGAAUCUCUUCUCUACUUGUUGCACUUGUUCUUUGUUUCUUUUUUGAUCUUUCACUAUCUUUCUACCUUCUUUAGCUUUAAUGGAGCAUUUUUAAUAUUCCAUUUUUUUCUCUCUUAGCAUAUCAAGUAUUCUUUUUUAAAAUUUUUUAAUGAUUGCCCUAGAGUUUGAAAUAUACAUUUACAACUAAUCUAAGUUUAAAAUAGUGUGAUAUCACUUCAUGGGUAGUUCAGAUACUUUAUAAGAGUAUUCGCAAUUCCUUCCUCCCAUCCCUUAUAACAUUGCUGUCAUUCAUUGCACCUUUCCCUAAGCUAUGUUUACUCAGGUUACCCAAUAUAUUGGUGCUGUUAUCAUUUCAACAAAUACAUAUAUUGGAUCAAUUAAAAACUUAAAAUUAAAGGUUUUAGUUUACCUUUAUUUAUUCUUCCUUCAGUGCUCUUCUUUUUUUGUGUAGAUCUCAGUUUCUGACCUGUUUUCCUCUCUCUGAAGAACACCUUUAAUGUUCUUGCAAGGCAGACCUCCUGGCAGAAAAUUCAGUUUUUGUUUGUCUGAGAAAGUCUUUAAAUUCCCUUCACUUUUGAAGGACAAUUUUACUGGAUACAAAAUUCUAGUUUGGCCAAUUUCUAUUGACAUACCUUCAAGAUCGCUGAUUCUUUCCUCUGCCUUGCCCAGUCUACUGGGCCAGCACAGUGGCAUAGUGGUUAAGUGCACAUGCUCCGCUUCAGUGGCCUGGAGUUCACAAGUUAGGAUUGUAUAGGCGUGAACCUAUACACUGCUCAUCAAGCCAUGCUGUGGAAGCAUCCCAGCACUUCCCAGGCCCUCCACUACGGUGUUGUAUAGAAGUGGUUGGAGAUGUCAGCCUUGAUGUGUUUCUGAUCUUAGAGGAAAGCAUUACAUCUUCCACCAGCAAAUACAAUGUUUCAUCACAGAUACCCUUUAUCAACACAGAUACUACCAAGACUGGAACUGCAGACAGUCUGCUCAUAGCCAGCUGCCUGAAGCCAUUGUCUCCUAAUUCUGCUUAUCCUGGGAUACCAUCCUGAUAGCUCUGCCUGCCCACACUCAGCAAUAUCAUGUCGUUUGUAUACACAACUGCAGAUGACAUGCUGAAUUUUUCCAAAUGCUUUUUCUCUGUCUUUUGAAGAUGUCAUAUGGUUUUCUCCUUUUUUCUAUUAAUAUGGUGAAUUAUAUUCUUUUGUUCACAUGUUAAACCAGAUAGGCUUUAUUUGUUUCUAGGAGAAACCUUAUUUUAUCAUGAUAUGUUAUACUUUUACAUACUGUUGUAGUCAAAUUGCUGAAGUUUUAUUUUAUUUUAUUUUAAAGAAUUUUUAAAUCCCUGUUUACAAGGAAUAUUGAUCUGUGUUUUCUUAUGAUGUCUUUGUCAGGUUUGGGAUUGAAAGUAAUAAAGACUUCCUAAGACAAUUGAGAAGUAGUCCUUCCUCUGUUUUCUGAAAGACAAUGUGUAGAGUUGGAAUUAUUUCUUCUUCAAGUGUUUGAUAGAAUUAACUUAUGAAACCAACUUAACUUCAAGUUUCUUUGUGGGAAGACUUUCUACUAAAAUUGAAUUUCUUUAAUAAUUAGUAAGCUACUAAUAUUUUCUAUUUCUUCCUUGGAUCAGUUUUGGUAAUUUGCAUCUUUCAAGAAAUUUAUCCCUUCCCUCUCUGUUGUCUGAUUUAAUGUCACGAUGUUAUAAUUCAUUCAUGAUUUUAUUAUGUCUUUAGGAUCUUCAGUGAUCUU
Molecule: long non-coding RNA, 2015 nt
Filed under: Equus caballus (horse)
Lineage: Eukaryota; Metazoa; Chordata; Mammalia; Perissodactyla; Equidae
Description: lncRNA (ENSECAG00000050037.1)
Source: RNAcentral